UACGAAGGGGGGCUAGCGUUGUUCGGAAUCACUGGGCGUAAAGGGCGCGUAGGCGGCUUUGUCAGUCGGGGGUGAAAGCCUGUGGCUCAACCACAGAAUGGCCUUCGAUACUGCGAGGCUUGAGACCGGGAGAGGUGAGUGGAACUGCGAGUGGAGAGGGUGAAAUUCGUAGAUAUUCGCAAGAACACCAGUGGCGAAGGCGGCUCACUGGUCCGGAUCUGACGCUGAGGCGCGAAAGCGUGGGGAGCAA
This 250-nucleotide ribosomal RNA is filed under the name uncultured bacterium. Its description in RNAcentral is "partial 16S ribosomal RNA". It matches the Rfam family "Bacterial small subunit ribosomal RNA", at positions 524 to 771 of the family's 1533-position model. The record is from RNAcentral.